RNAcentral lists this ribosomal RNA (460 nucleotides) under uncultured bacterium. Its description in RNAcentral is "partial 16S ribosomal RNA". It matches the Rfam family "Bacterial small subunit ribosomal RNA", at positions 338 to 795 of the family's 1533-position model. The record is from RNAcentral.
CCUACGGGAGGCAGCAGUGAGGAAUAUUGGUCAAUGGACGAGAGUCUGAACCAGCCAAGUAGCGUGAAGGAUGACUGCCCUAUGGGUUGUAAACUUCUUUUAUAUGGGAAUAAAAUGUUCCACGUGUGGGAUUUUGUAUGUACCAUAUGAAUAAGGAUCGGCUAACUCCGUGCCAGCAGCCGCGGUAAUACGGAGGAUCCGAGCGUUAUCCGGAUUUAUUGGGUUUAAAGGGAGCGUAGGUGGAUUGUUAAGUCAGUUGUGAAAGUUUGCGGUUCAACCGUAAAAUUGCAUUUGAAACUGGCAGUCUUGAGUACAGUAGGGGAGGGCGGAAUUCGUGGUGUAGCGGUGAAAUGCUUAGAUAUCACGAAGAACUCCGAUUGCGAAGGCAGUUCACUGGACUGCAACUGACACUGAGGCUCGAAAGUGUGGGUAUCAAACAGGAUUAGAUACCCGAGUAGUC